RNAcentral lists this ribosomal RNA (403 nucleotides) under Pseudomonas putida. RNAcentral describes it as "bacterial SSU rRNA". It matches the Rfam family "Bacterial small subunit ribosomal RNA", at positions 1 to 406 of the family's 1533-position model. Lineage: Bacteria; Pseudomonadati; Pseudomonadota; Gammaproteobacteria; Pseudomonadales; Pseudomonadaceae. The record is from RNAcentral.
GAACUGAAGAGUUUGAUCAUGGCUCAGAUUGAACGCUGGCGGCAGGCCUAACACAUGCAAGUCGAGCGGAUGACGGGAGCUUGCUCCUUGAUUCAGCGGCGGACGGGUGAGUAAUGCCUAGGAAUCUGCCUGGUAGUGGGGGACAACGUUUCGAAAGGAACGCUAAUACCGCAUACGUCCUACGGGAGAAAGCAGGGGACCUUCGGGCCUUGCGCUAUCAGAUGAGCCUAGGUCGGAUUAGCUAGUUGGUGGGGUAAUGGCUCACCAAGGCGACGAUCCGUAACUGGUCUGAGAGGAUGAUCAGUCACACUGGAACUGAGACACGGUCCAGACUCCUACGGGAGGCAGCAGUGGGGAAUAUUGGACAAUGGGCGAAAGCCUGAUCCAGCCAUGCCGCGUGUGU